Molecule: microRNA precursor, 142 nt
Filed under: Gossypium arboreum
Lineage: Eukaryota; Viridiplantae; Streptophyta; Magnoliopsida; Malvales; Malvaceae
Description: MIR7504 microRNA precursor family
Rfam family: MIR7504 microRNA precursor family
Source: Rfam by way of RNAcentral
AAUAGUUUUAUGCCACAUUAGUAUUCUUAUUUUGAAUUUCAGGAUUUUAUCCUGAAAAAAAUCAAAUCCAAAUUAAAAUACUGAAAUUCAGGAUAAAAUCUUGAAAUUCAAGAUAAGAAUACUGAUGUGGCAUAAAACUAUU